Myotis lucifugus (little brown bat) is the source of this 832-nucleotide long non-coding RNA. RefSeq lists it as uncharacterized. The transcript has 3 exons. NCBI's taxonomy places the organism in Eukaryota, Metazoa, Chordata, Mammalia, Chiroptera, Vespertilionidae. The record is from RefSeq and is a predicted model, not a curated record.
CUCAACUUUCAAAAUUGGAUUCCUCGUCUCCAUUUUCACAAACACUAUCUCAGUCUGAGCAGAAAUUAUCUAUGGAUCGGACCACAGCCUUCCAACUGACUUCACCCCCAAGCACCUCCCCCAAUUAGCCUUACCUCCCAAAUCCAUUCUCUACACAGCUUUCAAAGUGAUCAAAACAAAACAAAUCAAAACAAAAAACAACAAUCUCUUGCCAAUGCCUCCUCACCAGCAAUAUUUUCUGAUUGGACCUGGAGGUCAGUGAGCAAGAGAGGGUUAGAGGAAGUCCACACUGGUCAGCCUUCUGGGGAACAGAGAAAGACAAAGAAAAACAAACACCAAAAAAAUCCCCCACAAACAUACCUUUGGGUGAGGAUUUUAAAAAAAGAAUAAAGUACUGAUAUGUGUGCAACAUGGAUGGAUUUAAAAAUACGCUAAAUAAAGGAAGUCAUGUACAAAAGGCCACCUAUUGUAUGAGCCCCCUCCCCGCCUCCUGCCUUUAAAUGGAAUAUCCAAAAUAGGCAAAUAAGGAGACAGAAAACGGAUUAGAGGUUGAUAGGGACUGGAGGAAGGGCAAAUGGGAUUGAUUGCUAAUGUGUAAAGGUUUCUUUUGGUGACAAAAAUGUUUGGAAUGAGAUAAUGGUGACUGUUGUACAACAUGGUAAAUAUACUAAAAACUGCUGAAAUCAAGAUGCAUCGUACCAGGAAACUGAUGACUGGGAAGAUGUUCUGUGGGAUAUUCAUAUACUGCCUUGCAUUGAUUUGUGUAUCAAUCUGUUCUGGCUAUGUAUGGUGUCAGAUGGGUACUAGACUUAUCAGGGUCACUUUGUAAGUU